Molecule: ribosomal RNA, 402 nt
Filed under: uncultured bacterium
Lineage: Bacteria
Description: partial 16S ribosomal RNA
Rfam family: Bacterial small subunit ribosomal RNA
Source: RNAcentral
CCUACGGGAGGCAGCAGUAGGGAAUCUUCGGCAAUGGGCGAAAGCUUGACCGAGCGACGCCGCGUGCAUGAUGAAGGCCUUCGGAUUGUAAACUGCUGUUAUAAGGGAAGAAAGAUGAUAGUAGGAAAUGACUAUCUAUUGACGGUACCUUAUGAGAAAGUGACGGCUAACUACGUGCCAGCAGCCGCGGUAAUACAUAGGUUGCAAGCGUUAUCCGGAAUUAUUGGGCGUAAAGAGCGCGCAGGUGGUUAAUUAAGUCUUAUGGUAAAGCCCGGGGCUUAACCCUGGGGCGGAAUUGGAUACUGGUUGACUAGAGUGAAGUAGAGGGAAGUGGAAUUCCAAGUGAAGCGGUGAAAUGCGUAGAUAUAUGGAAGAACACCAGUGGCGAAGGCAGCUUCCUGG